CUCUUCUGUAUCUCGGCGGACAUCCGUUCGAUGCCCGGCUUUAUGGUCUACCUCAACCGGCUCAA
This 65-nucleotide non-coding RNA is filed under the name Compsopogon caeruleus. Lineage: Eukaryota; Rhodophyta; Compsopogonophyceae; Compsopogonales; Compsopogonaceae. The record is from RNAcentral.